Molecule: long non-coding RNA, 737 nt
Filed under: Betta splendens (Siamese fighting fish)
Lineage: Eukaryota; Metazoa; Chordata; Actinopteri; Anabantiformes; Osphronemidae
Description: lncRNA (ENSBSLG00000001530.1)
Source: RNAcentral
UGGUUCAGUUUUUUUCCCUGUGUAUUUCUCUGUCAUGUAAAGUGAUCUUGCUCUGGUUUAACACAACCACCUUUUCUGUUUAAACCCUAGGCAAUGGAAGGAGAAGAGCACCACCGUAAGAAAGGACAUGUUUUGUCAUGGAGAAGGCCAAAGAGACGCUGCCACUGCAGAUCUGACCAUGAUGGAGGUGUUGGCACUUUUCCACCAUGGGAUCCUGGAACAUCUGCACGAAGGAUAGUACAUUCGAUUUGGCUUCAAGAUCUUCUCCUGAGCGAUGAAAACAAGCUCAGUUACAGGCAGUGACGGGCCUCGGCCUCUAGUAGGCGCUGCACAGAUCACAGCUCCAACCCUGAGAGGAGUCACGCCGCUGCAAGUUGUGACAGUCUACAAUGACAUCCUGUUAUAGUCAAGAGGCAAAUGUGGAAUAUUGAAUUUAAUAAUUAUGGAAUACUGCAUAAUUACAUCCACAAGCUUUUGGUGUCACAGAAAGCUCAGCUUUUGACAGUGGAGGAAUUUGUCUGAGUGUAAAGUUGGAUGUGCGGCUUUGCAGCUGCUGAACUGAACAUUUUCAGCAAUUGAUCAAACUUUUGUUCUAAUCCCAGUGAUGGCUGGUGCAGCUUGUGUGCUGCUUUCAGCCUUUGUUGUGCUUUUUCUUGCUGACCUGUUGCCGUUUCCCACAGUGCCUAUUUUUUUAGUGCAACCAGCUGGCAUUUAUGUAGAAACAAGUCCUCAUUAGC